This 24-nucleotide non-coding RNA is filed under the name Arabidopsis thaliana (thale cress). The record is from RNAcentral. Lineage: Eukaryota; Viridiplantae; Streptophyta; Magnoliopsida; Brassicales; Brassicaceae.
GAAGACGGACUGGGUAGAAAAAGC